GUGUCAGCAGCCGCGGUAACACGUAGGGUGCGAGCGUUGUCCGGAAUUAUUGGGCGUAAAGAGCUCGUAGGCGGUGUGUCGCGUCGGCCGUGAAAACCUGCAGCUUAACUGUGGGCUUGCGGUCGAUACGGGCAUCACUGGAGUUCGGCAGGGGAGACUGGAAUUCCUGGUGUAGCGGUGAAAUGCGCAGAUAUCAGGAGGAACACCGGUGGCGAAGGCGGGUCUCUGGGCCGAUACUGACGCUGAGGAGCGAAAGCGUGGGGAGCGAACAGGAUUAGAUACCCCCGUAGUCC
This 293-nucleotide ribosomal RNA is filed under the name uncultured bacterium. RNAcentral's name for it is "partial 16S ribosomal RNA". It matches the Rfam family "Bacterial small subunit ribosomal RNA", at positions 505 to 796 of the family's 1533-position model. The record is from RNAcentral.